RNAcentral lists this ribosomal RNA (500 nucleotides) under uncultured bacterium. RNAcentral's name for it is "partial 16S ribosomal RNA". It matches the Rfam family "Bacterial small subunit ribosomal RNA", at positions 29 to 507 of the family's 1533-position model. The record is from RNAcentral.
AAUCAACGCUGGCGGCGUGCCUAACACAUGCAAGUCGAACGCGAAAGCCCCGCAAGGGGUAAGUAGAGUGGCAAACGGGUGAGUAACACGUGGGUGACCUGCCUUCGAGUGGGGGAUAACGUCCCGAAAGGGACGCUAAUACCGCAUGACAUCCUGCUUUUGAAAAAGCGGAGAUCAAAGCUGGGGAUCGCAAGACCUAGCGCUUGAAGAGGGGCCCGCGCCUGAUUAGCUAGUUGGGGAGGUAACGGCUCACCAAGGCGACGAUCAGUAUCCGGCCUGAGAGGGCGGACGGACACACUGGGACUGAGACCCGGCCCAGACUCCUACGGGAGGCAGCAGUGGGGAAUUGUGCGCAAUGGGCGCAAGCCUGACGACGCAACGCCGCGUGGAGGACGAAGAUCUUCGGGUCGUAAACUCCUGUCGAGCGGGACGAACGCUUCGCGGAUGAAUAAUCCGCGGAAUUGACGGUACCGCUAAAGGAAGCCCCGGCUAACUCCGUG